AUUGGUUCAUAUAUGAAAAAAGGCCAAGCUCCUCCCCUUUUAUUUUAUCUUCAGGGAAAUUCGGGAGCCCCUGGUCUGAAAGGAGAGAAGGGAAUUCUGGGAAUGCCUGGCUCUCGGGGUUUACCAGGUAUUGAUGGCCUUCCUGGACUUCAAGGUUCACAGGUUAGAAAUUACAUACAUUUUCUAAUAUAUAUAUAUAUAUAUAUGUUUUUAAUGCAAAAAGCUGCAAUUCUUUCUUUAAUUGAUACUGUAGACCCAAAAAAGAACUGUGUUAAUCCUGAUAUAACAUUCCCAUAUUAUACUCAGCAACCGGAGUGUUGGCACAUUUUGCUAUCUAGGACUUAUCUAGGACAACACCAUAGCAACCAUUUGUGAAAGCACAGCAACCACCUAGGACACCACUACAACUGUCGAGCCAUGCCGCCUUGAAACCACUUCGCAACCACUUAGCAACAGAAGUGGGUCUUCCACUGCAUCGCUCAAAGAACCAUUUGUAGCAUCUCCGACAUUGCCUUGUCAUGAGCAUGCUGGCUAGCUUGUAAGUUCAUACUCACUCACAAGAUAACACCUCACACCAUAUACAGGUAAGGUAACACAUAAUAACACUUAAUAACACAAGGAUCACCUCUAGCCUUCUGUAUUUAAUCUUGCGACUCAUUAAACUCUUAUUUCUUUCGCAGGGAGCUCAUGGAGACCCGGGAGCACCUGGUCAUCGUGGUCGUCCCGGUCUGAAGGUGAGUGAUCAUCAGUAGUUAUCAGAUCUGUAUCCAUACAAACAUGCAGAUAUUUUACACUCUGAACUUCCUGCAGGGUGAAAUAGGUGAUCCCGGUUUGAGGGGUCCUCCAGGUGAUCAUCUCAACAUGCCACCAGGUGAGGAGCCCUGAUCACUGGACUUUUACUAGAAUAUAUCCUAAUUUAUCUUCAGGGGCCGAAGUGCAGUUUGCAACACAGAAAACACGUGGAAGAAGGUGCUUUGUGGUCAGAUGAGACCAAAGUUACCCUGAACACACCCUCCCCCACUGUGAAACAUGGUGGUGGCAGCAUUAUGCUGUAGGAAUGCUUUUCUUCAGUUGAUGAGAAGAUGGAUGGAGA
Molecule: long non-coding RNA, 1093 nt
Filed under: Astyanax mexicanus (Mexican tetra)
Lineage: Eukaryota; Metazoa; Chordata; Actinopteri; Characiformes; Acestrorhamphidae
Description: lncRNA (ENSAMXG00005009046.1)
Source: RNAcentral